RNAcentral lists this ribosomal RNA (507 nucleotides) under uncultured bacterium. RNAcentral's name for it is "partial 16S ribosomal RNA". The record is from RNAcentral.
GGAGUUAGCCGGUGCUUCUUCUGUGAGUGAUGUCCUUCCUGCCGGCUAUUAACCCGCAGGCCUUCUUCCUCACUGAAAGUGCUUUACAACCCGAAGGCCUUCUUCACACACGCGGCAUGGCUGGAUCAGGGUUGCCCCCAUUGUCCAAUAUUCCCCACUGCUGCCUCCCGUAGGAGUCUGGGCCGUGUCUCAGUCCCAGUGUGGCUGAUCAUCCUCUCAGACCAGCUACGGAUCGUCGCCUUGGUGAGCCGUUACCUCACCAACCAGCUAAUCCGACAUAGGCUCAUCCGAUAGCGCGAGGCCCGAAGGUCCCCCGCUUUCCCCCGUAGGGCGUAUGCGGUAUUAGCCUGUGUUUCCCCAGGUUAUCCCCCACUACCGGGCAGAUUCCUAUGCAUUACUCACCCGUCCGCCGCUCGCCACCAGGGAGCAAGCUCCCCGUGCUGCCGCUCGACUUGCAUGUGUUAGGCCUGCCGCCAGCGUUCAAUCUGAGCCAGGAUCAAACUCUGA